This 474-nucleotide ribosomal RNA is filed under the name uncultured archaeon. Its description in RNAcentral is "bacterial SSU rRNA". It matches the Rfam family "Archaeal small subunit ribosomal RNA", at positions 1 to 471 of the family's 1478-position model. The record is from RNAcentral.
UUCCGGUUGAUCCUGCCGGAGACUACCGCUAUCGGAGUCCGAUUUAGCCAUGCUAGUCCACCGAGUCCUUGACUCGGGGCGGAAAGCUGAGUAACACGUGGCCAACCUGCCCUGUGGACGGAGAUAACCCCGGGAAACUGAGGAUAAUACUCGAUAGCAGAACCAUGCUGGAAACGCGGGUUCUGUGAAAUGUUUCGACGCCACAGGAUGGGGCCGCGGCUGAUUAGGUCGUUGGUGAGGUAACGGCUCACCAAGCCAGUAAUCAGUAGCAGCCGUGGGAGCGGUAGCUGCCAGUCGUGUUCUGAGACAAGAACACGGGCCCUACGGGGCGCAGCAGGCACGAAACCUUUACAAUGCACGCGAGUGCGAUAGGGGGACUCCGAGUGCGUUCUUCCCACAAGGAAGGACGCUUUUCUGCACUGUAAGGAGGUGCAGGAACAAGGGGUGGGCAAGACUGCUGCCAGCCGCCGCGGU